GCUGGGCAUGGUGGUGCAUGCCUGUAGUCCCAGCUACUCGGGAGGCUGAGUCAGGAGAAUUGCUUGAACCCAGGGGGUGGAGACUGCAGUGAGCCGAGAUUGUGCCAGUGCACUCCAUCCUGGGCAGCUAAGCGAGACUCUGUCUCAAACAAAAGAAAAUUGUGAAUUGGGCACAGUGGCUCAUGCCAGUAAUCUCAGCACUUUGGGAGGCUGAGGCAGGUGGAUUGCUCGAGCCCAAGAGUUUGAGACCAGCUUGGGCAACAUAUCAAGACCCUGUCUCU
This 281-nucleotide small RNA is filed under the name Nomascus leucogenys (northern white-cheeked gibbon). Its description in RNAcentral is "Metazoan signal recognition particle RNA (ENSNLEG00000031297.1)". The record is from RNAcentral. Lineage: Eukaryota; Metazoa; Chordata; Mammalia; Primates; Hylobatidae.